CACGCCGUAAACGAUGCAGGCUAGGCAUUGGAGGCUUUGAACCCUUAAGUGCCGAAGCUAACGCGUUAAGCCUGCCGCCUGGGGAGUACGGCCGCAAGGCUAAAACUCAAAGGAAUUGACGGGGACCCGCACAAGCGGUGGAACAUGUGGUUUAAUUCGUAGACAAGCGAGGAACCUUACCAGGACUUGACAUCUCCGGAACCUGCUAGAAAUAGCGGGGUGCCUUCGGGAGCCGGAUGACAGGUGC
This 247-nucleotide ribosomal RNA is filed under the name uncultured bacterium. RNAcentral's name for it is "partial 16S ribosomal RNA". It matches the Rfam family "Bacterial small subunit ribosomal RNA", at positions 796 to 1041 of the family's 1533-position model. The record is from RNAcentral.